GGUGACUCAGUGGUAGAGUGCUUGCCUUGCAUGCAUGAGGCCCUGGGUUCAAUUCCUCAGCACCA
Non-coding RNA from Dipodomys ordii (Ord's kangaroo rat), 65 nucleotides. Lineage: Eukaryota; Metazoa; Chordata; Mammalia; Rodentia; Heteromyidae. The record is from Rfam.